RNAcentral lists this ribosomal RNA (500 nucleotides) under uncultured bacterium. Its description in RNAcentral is "partial 16S ribosomal RNA". It matches the Rfam family "Bacterial small subunit ribosomal RNA", at positions 30 to 523 of the family's 1533-position model. The record is from RNAcentral.
AUUGAACGCUGGCGGCAUGCCUUACACAUGCAAGUCGAGCGGUAACGGGUCCUUCGGGAUGCCGACGAGUGGCGAACGGGUGAGUAAUAUAUCGGAACGUGCCCAGUAGUGGGGGAUAACUGCUCGAAAGAGCAGCUAAUACCGCAUACGACCUGAGGGUGAAAGGGGGGGAUCGCAAGACCUCUCGCUAUUGGAGCGGCCGAUAUCAGAUUAGCUAGUUGGUGGGGUAAAGGCCUACCAAGGCAACGAUCUGUAGUUGGGCUGAGAGGACGAACAGCCACACUGGGACUGGGACACGGCCCAGACUCCUACGGGAGGCAGCAGUGGGGAAUUUUGGACAAUGGGCGCAAGCCUGAUCCAGCAAUGCCGCGUGCAGGAAGAAGGCCUUCGGGUUGUAAACUGCUUUUGUCAGGGAAGAAAUCUUCUGGGCUAAUACCCCGGGAGGAUGACGGUACCUGAAGAAUAAGCACCGGCUAACUACGUGCCAGCAGCCGCGGUAA